This 373-nucleotide ribosomal RNA is filed under the name uncultured bacterium. RNAcentral's name for it is "bacterial SSU rRNA". It matches the Rfam family "Bacterial small subunit ribosomal RNA", at positions 434 to 793 of the family's 1533-position model. The record is from RNAcentral.
CAGCAGUGAGGAAGGUGGGUAUGUUAAUAGCCAUAUUCAUUUUGACGUUUAGCUGCAGAAGAAGUCACCGGCUAAACUCCGUGCCAGCAGCCGCGGUAAUACGGAGGGUGCGAGCGUUAAUCGGAAUUACUGGGCGUAAAGCGCAUGCAGGUGGUUUGUUAAGUCAGAUGUGAAAGCCCCGGGGCUCAACCUCGGAAUUGCCAUUUUGAAACUGGCAAACUAGAGUACUGUAGAGGGGGUAGAAUUUCAGGUGUAGCGGUGAAAUGCGUAGAGAUCUGAAGGAAUACCCGGUGGCGAAGGCGGCCCCCCUGGACAGAUACUGACACUCAGAUGCGAAAGCGUGGGGAGCAAACAGGAUUAGAUACCCUGGUAG